CCUACGGGAGGCAGCAGUGGGGAAUAUUGCACAAUGGGCGCAAGCCUGAUGCAGCGACGCCGCGUGAGGGAUGACGGCCUUCGGGUUGUAAACCUCUUUCAGUAGGGAAGAAGCGUAAGUGACGGUACCUGCAGAAGAAGCGCCGGCUAACUACGUGCCAGCAGCCGCGGUAAUACGUAGGGCGCAAGCGUUAUCCGGAAUUAUUGGGCGUAAAGAGCUCGUAGGCGGUUUGUCGCGUCUGCUGUGAAAGACCGGGGCUCAACUCCGGUUCUGCAGUGGGUACGGGCAGACUAGAGUGCAGUAGGGGAGACUGGAAUUCCUGGUGUAGCGGUGAAAUGCGCAGAUAUCAGGAGGAACACCGAUGGCGAAGGCAGGUCUCUGGGCUGUAACUGACGCUGAGGAGCGAAAGCAUGGGGAGCGAACAGGAUUAGAUACCCUGGUAGUCCAUGCCGUAAACGUUGGGCACUAGGUGUGGGGGACAUUCCACGUUUUCCGCGCCGUAGCUAACGCAUUAAGUGCCCCGCCUGGGGAGGUACGGCCGCGAGACGUAAACGUUAAACGGUAAGUUAGACGGCGUGAGACGUGCCGACGGACGACGACGAGGGAGGUUAGG
This 613-nucleotide ribosomal RNA is filed under the name uncultured bacterium. RNAcentral's name for it is "bacterial SSU rRNA". The stretch from base 1 to 525 matches the Rfam family "Bacterial small subunit ribosomal RNA", at positions 338 to 873 of the family's 1533-position model. The record is from RNAcentral.